Molecule: long non-coding RNA, 251 nt
Filed under: Sorghum bicolor (sorghum)
Lineage: Eukaryota; Viridiplantae; Streptophyta; Magnoliopsida; Poales; Poaceae
Description: long non-coding RNA (SBIC_LNC012436)
Source: RNAcentral
CCCCUUCUCUUUUUUUUUUGAAUUUCUUUUUUUCCAAAUUCUUUUCCAAAUUCAUUUGGACCAGUUUAAAAUCAUUUUCACCUCUUGCUCCUAAAAACAAAGUUGUUCCAAAACAAAAACUCUACAACUUUGCUUUAAUAAGCAGGACCAAAUUCCAAAUAGAAUUUGAAUUACAAAUUAAAACUCAGUUCUAGGUUUUUAAAUAAAUUCCAUUUGGAAAUCUUGUAUAAAUUCCAUUUCUCAAAUUCCAU